Molecule: long non-coding RNA, 354 nt
Organism: Suricata suricatta (meerkat)
Lineage: Eukaryota; Metazoa; Chordata; Mammalia; Carnivora; Herpestidae
Exons: 3
Source: RefSeq, a predicted model, not a curated record
GACCUUCAUUAUUUCUUUGUUGGACUGUCAGCAUUGCAACCACUGGGUCAUCACCUGAGCACCUGAGAAACAAGCACUGAUAACAUGAACGUGAAAGGCAGUCCUUGCUCUUAAGACUCCAGUAAGAGAACUUUCUACAAGUCUACAGAAGAAGAUUAAAUAGUCAGUGCUCCCUUGCCUAUCCCACUGGAAUUCUACUUCAUAGCUUGAGCGCUUUGAUCUCUGCCAAUAUACUUGUUUGAAUGUCAGUUACACUUGGAAAGUAGAUCGUUCAGACUUUUUAGGUCCUCAUUAAAAUGCUCUUUUGCAUCGUGAAUGUCACAGGGUUGGAGACAGAGAUGAGACUAUGCAGUC